Molecule: long non-coding RNA, 202 nt
Organism: Schistocerca piceifrons (Central American locust)
Lineage: Eukaryota; Metazoa; Arthropoda; Insecta; Orthoptera; Acrididae
Exons: 3
Source: RefSeq, a predicted model, not a curated record
UGUAGUUGCUGUUUGAGUGUUUGAUAAUCGAACAUCUGUAAUGGCUGACGAGAAUGACUGCCCGUGCUGUAAUCUACCCGAAUGGCUGGAGAUCUUUGUUCGAUUUUUACACUCUGUGUCAAAAUCUAAACUAUUCUGCCACCAAGCCAACCCAAAUCUGUGUCUGUCAGCUCAAAUGGAGCCACUUGUGGUAUGUACGGAG